GUUUGCCUCACAGCUCUGGGAUUGGGAUUCGAUUCCUGUCUCCGUCUUGUGUGCACCGAGUUGGCAUGUUCUCCCCGUGCUUCGGGGGUUUCCUCUGGGUACUCCGGUUUCCUCCCCGGUCCAAAGAUAUGAACUGUAGGCUGAUGGCAUGUCUAAAUUCUACGUAGUGUGCGAACGUGUGUGCGAUUGUGCCCUGCAGUGGGUCGGCACCCCAUCCAGUGUGUCCCCCGCCCUAUGCCCCAAGUCUCCUUUGAUAGACUCCAGGGGACUUGGGGCACAAGGCGAGGGACAUCCUGGAUAGGGUGCCAACCCAUCGCAAGCAUGCACGGAAACGCAGCCAUGAAUCAUACAGUGUGACUUCAGGGUAAGUCAGCAGUGAUCUCUAUUACUCACUACAGAAAGUUCAUUUAUUUUAAUGUUCCUGGUUAUGGCUCAAACAGUUAACACAUGCACUUUAUUAAGGCAUGAAAAAGUUCAAACAUGCUGAAAGUCUUAAGCAGGUUGCUGUGAGUCAUCGAAUUACGAAUCGAGAGGAUCAGGGAAAUCGCAAGUCGGAUACGUUAGAAACGUG
Long non-coding RNA from Ictalurus punctatus (channel catfish), 571 nucleotides. Lineage: Eukaryota; Metazoa; Chordata; Actinopteri; Siluriformes; Ictaluridae. The record is from Ensembl.